This is a long non-coding RNA of Equus caballus (horse), 5912 nucleotides long. The record is from Ensembl. NCBI's taxonomy places the organism in Eukaryota, Metazoa, Chordata, Mammalia, Perissodactyla, Equidae.
UGUAGAUCUUGUUUGUGUAAAAAAAAAAAGUGGAAGACUUAAAAAAUUAUUAGCUCUUUUUAUUUUAGAACCAACCUAAAUGGAUGGUUGGUUCUAAAAUACACAAUUUCAGAAUAGAGUGUAAAAUUUUUUUAAAUACUAACUAAAAUAUAACUAAUAUAACUACAAAAUUUAUUGAAAGAUGUGUGGUAGAAAGCACAGUAUGCUAAUUUCCUCGCCUUUCUUGUCACGGAUGUCAAGAGCCACCAUCUCCAUUUGGCAGCAUCGUAGCUGCGAUUACAGGUUCAAAUCGACAGAGAGACUCACAAGACAUAAGUGUGCUUGAGUCUGGUGCAGGGUUUCUCAGCCUGGGCUCUGUUGACUUUUUAGGCUAGCUAACUCUUUGUUGUGGGGGCUGUCCCGUGCACUGUAGGACGUUUAGCAGCAUCCCUGAGCUCUAUCCACUAGAUGCCAGUAGUCCCCCUCCCCAAGUUGUGACAACCAAAAACGUCUCUAGACUAUGACAGAUGUCCCCUGGGAGGGUUUGUGGGGUGCAGGUUGCCCUGGUUGGGCACCACUGGUCUAAUGCUACAUUUACAGGCUUACAGGACACAGUAUAGGAGAUGCAGCAUCCUGAUUUCAUUGGGAGCUUAGCAGCUACCCAAGCACACAGUUGCUUUUGCCUCUCAUCCACAUGGGGUGCUUGUGGCUGCCACAGAUGAGAGACAGGGUGUGUGGGGGCUUCCCUUGACCCACGGAAGCUACUGCCAUUAUUUCUUGCAAAUCUUUUAUGCCUUCCUAGUCCCAGAGGCCCAGGGGCAUGAACAGCUCCCCCAACCAACUGAGGCCAACCCCCAUUCCCUGUUCUCCUUUAGUCUUUCCAAGGACACAGUGCAGUGGGAGGCCCAGGGCCAUGUCAGGGCGCCUCCAUCAGCCAGGGCCACGUGUUAACCCUUUACUCACAAGAGGGGAGUAGGUAAAUAAUUGCAUUAUUUAAAGUUAUAUGAAUAUAUACCUAUUCCAAAAGAAUUUGAAGAAACAAUUUGAAACUUUACCAAAUUAAGAUACAAUGGCGCUCUUCAUAGUUAUUAAAACCAGAAAGUGUGGGAGUGUAGGAUUUUUAGUUUUUAUUUAAUGCACUAUUAUACCAUUUGAAUUUUUUUGAACUAUGUACUUCUAUUGAAAAAGCUAUAACAAAACUGAUUUUAUCAAAAAAUAUAAUAAGACCAGUGCUUUUUAUGUCACAUGACUAGGCUUUUUUCCAUGUAUCUCAUUAUAUUUUCUUCUUUGACGUAAUUGGCUGUUUUGAGAGAAAUCACAAAAAAUACUUUUGUUUCAUAUCAGUGCUAUUUUUUCUUUUAAAGUGUUGCAAGUGGAUAAGAAUCAUACCUUCCUGAAAGUGCUGAAGGUUCUGCCUUGGGAAUUUCUAGAAUUUACUGUUUGGAAUUCUAGGCUAUUGGAAACGUUGAGUUGAAUGCAUAGUUGGUUCUAAAGUAAACCGUCAAGUUUGGGCUGAAUGGCUAGCUCCUUGGCUGUAUUCAUACAUCUGAAUAUGCGUCUUCUGUAAACACUCUGUCAUGCGUUUGUGACCUUCAGACACCUAUUAGGGUCGUCACACAGUGUGUGUAGAUCUAGAAGUGAGUAGGCCGUUCAACAAAUGGGCCAGUAUCUACUGAGCGUAUCAGAUCAGAAAUCGCGGUCUUUGUGGUUAGGAGCUCAGAGAUGGAAGGGAGAGGGGAAACUGCUACGAGCUGGCGCAGUUAAGAAAGGCUUGCGGGAGGGAGGGAGGAAGAAACGCAGACUGGAUCUUAAAAAGGGAACCGGAUUCCUUAAGAAAAAGAAAAGGGCAUCCAGGUAAACGAGGACCUCCAGGACAGUCUAAUCCUGAUGUUAAGGUUAGUUGGGACAGAUCUCGGUUGAAGUUUAUACAAUCUUGCUGCCCUCAAUAAGAAACUGAAUAAUACAAAGAUGUUUUUGAAAGUGUCGCAAAAACAUAUGAGCUUGUGGACACACUGCUGGGGUCCCUUCGAGGCCCUGGAGGGGCCUACACAAGUGAGGGCCUGUGGCUUCUUCGGCUGCGGUGUAGGUCCGUCUGAGUUUGGUGUUGUGAGUCACGUUGGCCCUGCCCAGUUCCGGGCAGCGGUGUGCAGGUCAUGGGAAGCCCCAGGACCUGAGAAGGUCACCCCUUUACCUUCAGGAGUUCACAGCCUAUGGGGGGGCAUUGGUGAAAGACGGACAUUUCACAGAUCUUUUCUUUGAGUGUCUCCUGUGUACCAGGCUGAGUGCUGUGUGCUCGUAACUAAGAGUCCCUUUCUGAGAGAGCUUGGAGUCUGGGAAGGGGUGCUGUUUGAGAAGAGAGCAAAAUUUGGAAGAAAGUAGGACUGGGUUUGACUAUGACCUGUUCCCUUUUUAGCUGGGUGACCUCAGGCGGGCACAUUACUUCACCUCCGGAGGAAGCCGCUUAGCUUGUGUCAAAACAAGGCAGAAAUCUGGCACACGGGUUUGGUGUGAUGUUCAGACACGAUGCCUUAUGAUGCUUGGCCCGUGGCAGGCUGCCAGUUUGACAUUCCUUUUCUGCUGCUUUCAAGGCACCAAGAACCAACCUGACAGGCCAAGGAGUAACCGGGGUGUCAUGAUACACCAAGCGCAAGACUGUAAGCACCAUGAGGGUACUUAGUAGUAGCUGACACUAUCUUACUGGUUAUCUAUAUUUCGUCAGUAAAAUUUAAACUCCAUGGUGGGCAGGGGCCUCUUCCUGUUUGUUCAUCACUGUGUCCACAGCACCUAAAACACGGCCUGAUAUGUCGGUGACACUCAGUAAAUGUCUCUCGAAAGAAUGAGUAAAGGAAAUGUGCUUGGUGUUUUCCAUGUGUAACAGCUUGACAUGCUCCUGAGAGUUGUAGUUCACUUAUUUCAGGCUCCUUUUCCUUGAAUAUUGCCGCGUAUGUUCGUUUGUCUCAACCUCGGCCCUGUUUGGCAUUUGGGGCCAGAUACGUCUUUGCUGUGGAGGGGUAUCCUGUCAAUUGUAGGAUGUUUAGCAGCAUCCCUGGCCUCUACCUACUUGAUGUUAUUAACACCUCUUCCUCCAAGUUGUGACAAACAAAAACAUCUCUGGACAGAUGUCCCCUGGGGGCCAGAAUCGCCCCCAAUUGGGAACUGCUGGCCCACGCAGUAGUUUCAGGCUUAGUGAAAAGAAGCUCUUAAAGUCUUAGGGUCAGGACGGAUCGUAAAGGUCGUGGGUUAUACCUUCUCUACUAUCCAUUUAUAAGUGUCCAAGCCAAUCCAGCUGCACCCACCUCCUCUGACAUAUUCUCAGUGCCAACAAAUGAGCCAGCCAGCCAUGCACCCUUUGACACACACAGUGACGGAACCAUUCUGAGCACAUGGCUGCAUGGAGCCGGCCAGGCAUGGUGCCCAUGUGUAAACACUGUCGUUAACGCCUUGAAAGCAAUGCCCUUGCAAAAAGAUGGAGUUGGAACAGCUCUGCCUGAUCGCCACAUUCAUGCCCUGCCCUCCUACUGCUUCCCUUUCUUCCCUUUGUUUUUAUUGAUCUCAAUCAUCUCCCUGGCCCUUCCAGAAGCAUUUUGAAAAUGGAAGGCAGGAAAGAAGAAAGAGGAAGAGGAGAAAAAGGAAAAAGGAGGUUCCAUUUUUUGGGCGGAGAAUGCAUCACACGUGUCCAUGUAUGCCGGGCUUAGCUUGUUUACGGACUUCGUUUAAUCGAUUUAUUUGUUUAGCCCGAAAGUAAUCACUUUGGAGUAGAAACUUGAAAUGUGAACAGCCGCACGAUGUCUGUAAAGUCUAUUUACUUGUGAUUGUGCCAAACAAGUAAGAUGCCAGAAAGAAAUGCUGUUGCUUCCUCAACUUUCCAAGUAACAGUUCUAGCUUUGAUUUUUAAAUGAUGGUUUUUUUAAAUUGAAAGAGGAUUUUAAUUUUGGACAGAAAUGUAAAGUGCAAGGCAUUAUGGAACCAGUUCUCGUUUCCCUGUUUGUGUUUUGGUUUGGUUUUGCUUUUUUUUUUUUUAAUGCCAAUAACUCACCCAUUUUCACAAAAAUGAGGAGAACAAGAAUUUGAUAUUUUGUUACAGAAACUUAUUUUUCCUUAAACCCCUGUCCCCAAGCCCUGGCCCCAGAUACACACACACACACACACAGCCCUUUGAGUCUCGUCUCUCACUCGUCAAGGAAUUUUAAGUCUGUCACUUUAUUCUUUGCCAUUUCCCUCUCUGACCUUCUAGCAUUUUAAAGUGUGCGCGUGGGGUCCAUGUCCUUUAACUUGCUGGCAGAAUCACUGACAAGAAUCAAGCUUUUUGCUUGAUACUUAAACAGUGGAAAGAGUCUAGUGGAACCAGCUGCUCCAGACUUCUCUUCUGUGGGGUGGAGGUUGGGGUGCUUCUGAAUUUCCACUGAACUUGCCUCUGAGAUGGACUUCAGGUCUGCUGUUUGACUGGGGGGAGGACAGGAGGCAUGGAAAGUCAAAUUAGUCCAGAUUUGUAGAUUUGGGGUUUUUUUUUUUUGAAGGCUUUUCUAAUACAAGAUUACUUUUAUUUCUCUUUCUCUUUAUAAAACUUUUUUUAAAGUCUCAUAGUUAGAGAUGUUCCAGAAAAUGUCACUUGAAGAGGAAGUAUUGAUUUUAAUCUGGCAUAACACUAGUUACCAUUUUUAAAUCGGUAUUACGUUGUAAUUUAAACUUUAUCUGUAACCAAAAGGUCUGUUGUAAUGGAUUGCCUGACAUCCUGCCAUUUGUACCUGUAUCAAUAUUGUGUAAAAAUUCUGUAUCAGAAUAAUGACAGUAUUGUAUAUCAUUUGAUUUAUUUUAAUAUUAUAUCCUUAUUUUUGUCACAGUUGUCGUCAGUUUUUAUUACAAGGAAACUCCUCUAUAGCUCACAUUCUAAAGUGGGUAAAGACUCCAAAGUUGGUAAAAUAGCACUAACGGCAUGUGCAUUUUCAUUUUACAUACAGGAAAGUUCUGUUUGCAUGAAUUUUAAGGUAGUACAAAAAAUAAACAGUGUGUAAAUCAGUGAGGUUUUGGAGCACAACGGAAAAUUAUGACAUGCAAAACUGACUGUAAUCAGGAAUGGACUCAUGGGAUUUCACUGUGUUGAUCUGGCCAAUAGUGCCGGAGUGUUUGUCAUGGUUAGGCAGGUGCUAGCCAAAAGGCGAUGCCCGUGUAGCCUGGCCUUGAAAAACCCACGGAGUAUUGUAAAUGAUUGAACGUCGCAAAUAAACAACUUAUGAAAUGCGUUCAACUGACUAAACUUGACCAUGCCAACCCACUAACUGUUUCCAAAAAAAAAAAAAACUGUCCAUUUGUAGUUCUUUACUCAGCCAGGGCUUACAAUUGUACAUUGUGUGUAACUUUACCCUUGGGGUUAACACGUCCCAUGAAUGUAUGGGAUUUUGCUGUGCUAAUUGCCAUACUUCAUCAUAGAAGUAUUAUUUUUGGUUCAGUUAGUUUGUUUUCAAGAAGCUUUCCUCAGCCCAAUGGUGUAGUGGUUGGGUUUGCGUUCUCCACUUCAGCAGACUGGGGUUCCCGGAUUUGGAUCCCGGGCAUGGACCUACACACUGCUCAUCGGCCAUGCUGUGGCAGAAACCCACAUACAAACUGGAGGAAGAUUGGCACAGAUGUUAGCUCAACGGCAGUCUUUCUCAAGCAAAAAGAGGAAGAUUUGCAACAAAGGUUAGCUCAAGCCCAAUCUUCCUCACCAAAAAAAAGAAAGAAACAUUCCUCAGUGAAUUUGUUGAAAAAAAAUUCAAGUGGAAUUGUGGGAAAAGAAACAGGCACUUCCAUAAUUUUGCUCAAUGUUGUUUUUAUAUAGUGUUUGAUACAUCCUUUUUCAUAAGUGGUGAAAACUUAAUAGGGUCAAUCAUCGAUUUUCACCCAAGUUAGAAAACAUAUAGCUAAUUUUUAUAAAAUUUUACUUUUACGGAUACCAA